GUGUGUGUGGAAGUGUGCGCGCGAGGGUGCCGACGGGCGGGUAGCGGCGGGUGGGCGCCCGCGCCCCGGCGAGAACCCGGUUAAGGGGCGAGGAUGGGGGUUCACCCCUGGGCCUGGAGCGCGCGGCUUCGGGAGAGGCUGGCGGGAAGCCGGGCCGCGCGGCGCGCGCCGGGGAAUCGAUGAUUCGGCCUGUGGGCCGGGUCACUGCGGCGGGGCUGGGGGAGCGCCGAUGUCAUGGAUAGGCUCCGAGGGGCGCGGGGCUUUGGCGGCUCCUGGCGCUUGCCUCGCCCACCGCCAUUUCACGUCCUCCUAGAGGAGGCGGGGAGGCGGCCGCGGACAGGAUUUUUAACCGGCCCCCACCUCCCCGUACAAGGUCAAGACAUAAGAACUGUCAUCUCCUUCCCUAGCACCAUGUCUGCCUGCAUGCUGCCUUGCUUCUCACCAUGACAAUAAUGAACUAAACCUCUGAACUGCUCGCUCCGUGUUCUGUUCAUGUGACUCUCACCCUGCUGUGGCCUGUACUCCAGUCACUGACACAAGGCAAGUCCGGGCUGAUGUAGAAAGUCCCUACUCAGCUAGCCAUGACUUUGGAGAAAGCCCCUGACCUCUGAGUGGACAGAAGACCUGGAUGUCAGCGCGUGGGAGCCCUGGAACCUGCAUUGCUGGGACAGCUCCAAAAGACUAGGAAGCACAGGCUUGUCAUACCUGGAGAAUAAGAGCAUGCCUGCCACACUGUGGCCCUCUCUGCGGGAAGGGAGAGGCUAGGAGGAAACCUGGUGGGUGGGGUUAUGGCUGGGACUCCUGGAAUUCUCAGGGCAGUUGCCAGGCUCUGCUUAGAGACUAUGAUAGGGCGGGGCCUCCAUGCUGAGGGUGAGCAAAUUCUCCCUUGCUCUACGAGGAGGAAAGAAAGAACUAUCAGAAUUGUGAGUCUGUGGCCCAUGACAGAGCCGUUUCACCUCUGCAGAGAAGUGUGCACAUGGUGCCAAACGAAGUCUGUAAAGACAAGGGAUGCAGCAAAGACUCGAGACAGAAUGUCUCUGGGUUCAAAAUGCAUUGUGUAUCUGGACAAUGAACACGCUGUCUUUUCACAAAUAAUGGGGAAGUGCCACGCGAACUGAAGUGGAAACAGCUCCGAAUAUAUUAGUUUAAAAAAAAAAAUAAAAGAGCCACCUGGCUGGCUGUGAUGUAAGACUGUACAUGUGUGUCAUCUCCUAGAAACUAGAAUAGUAGUCAUCUGUAGGCAGGGAGCAGGGGGAUUCACUUUCCAGAACGGCCUGAGCCUUUCCUAAUGUGUACCGAGUGUGUAUCUGUCUACCGGACUCCUUGUUAGAAUACCAUUGACCUGGUGUUCACAACAAUUAAGAACCAAUGCCAACCGUGACUCCCACUCCACCUCCAGAAGCCCGUGAACUCCCCAGAAUACAAAAGACAAAACAGAGUGCCUAUUGGCUGGCUGAGCUGCAAACAGAGGCUAGGUACCGAACAACUGCCAGAGUGAAUGGCCCCCACAGUGAACGGCCACAGUCAGGAACCAUAGACCCUCUGUUCCAGCUCCAGAGACAGCAGCCUUCCUCGUGGAAGUCUCGCUCACCCACUUCGGCCGAGAACUGCAAUUGCUGUUUCCAGCUCUUGUGUUUGCAUUCCCUGUUCUUUUUUCUUUUUGUGAGAGAGGGUAUCAACUGCACCAGUCAUAUCCAUGACUGCCCCGGAACUACACAUAGACCAGGUUGGCCUUGAUGUAGCCUCUGCCUCCUGAGUGUG
Microtus oregoni (creeping vole) is the source of this 1761-nucleotide long non-coding RNA. RefSeq lists it as uncharacterized. The record is from RefSeq and is a predicted model, not a curated record. The transcript is spliced from 3 exons. Lineage: Eukaryota; Metazoa; Chordata; Mammalia; Rodentia; Cricetidae.